Long non-coding RNA from Tupaia belangeri chinensis (Chinese tree shrew), 456 nucleotides. RefSeq lists it as uncharacterized. NCBI's taxonomy places the organism in Eukaryota, Metazoa, Chordata, Mammalia, Scandentia, Tupaiidae. The record is from RefSeq and is a predicted model, not a curated record. The transcript has 3 exons.
UGGCCUUAUCCAAGCUUGUCCUGAUUGCUGCUAUAUUUGACUUCUACGGCGCUCUUGAAAUUCCUACUUAGAUUGGAUGAACAAUGACUGGCCAAAGAACAUGGCCUCUGACCAGUGCCUUAUCCUCAUGUCUAGGAUCUGGAGAGUUGUACUUGAGGGGCAAGCUUGAUAUACAUUAAUUAGAAGGACUAUGUUGAACAGAAAAGUGCAAGCCUAUCCGCAUAAGGAUAUUCAUGGGAACCUUGUCUGUAGUAGGUGUAGCCAUAAACAGCUCAGCUACCCUACACAGUAGAAUGGACAAAUAUUAAGCUGUGGUACAACACAAAUACUAUACAGCAAUGAAAAUGAGCAAACUGCAUCUGUGUUCAACAAUACGAACAACAAAUAGAAGAAGCAAGACAAAGGAAUACAUUAAGUAUGAUUUCAUCAGGACCAGCAGUUGGUGUAAUGGCUAUG